GGGGGUAUAGCUCGGGGUAGAGCAUUUGAUUGCAGAUCAAGAAUUACAUGUGCUCCCCCAUUGCCCCUC
Non-coding RNA from Papio anubis (olive baboon), 69 nucleotides. The record is from Rfam. NCBI's taxonomy places the organism in Eukaryota, Metazoa, Chordata, Mammalia, Primates, Cercopithecidae.